CCGGGGACAGAUCCAACCGUGUGGAGACCGAUUUAUGGGGAGAAGGACGGGCAGCCCGUAACUCAGUGAAAACAGCCAUUUAUGGGGGAACGCCUGUUCUGAGAGCAAAAUUAUAUCCCAGGAUCUCAGAGAUGUUUAUCAAGCUUUAGAAGAAAGCAAAAAGCCAGAAAAUCACAACCAUUAACUUAGUUCAGAGGUUGAAGGAGUCUUUUGAGGUAGACCACUUUAGCCUCCUGCCAGAGGAGCUGGUCUGAAGAGUGUCAAGACAGGUCUUCAUUUUCCGAUCACUACCACUCUCGCAAGACUGGCAGCCAUGGGGGAAAAGUCCCACACUUGCCCUUACUGUGGGAAAGGUUUCCGGCGAAACUCACACCUUACUCGGCAUUUAGCUACCCACUCUGGACUGCAGCGCCCUUUAGGUGGGAAACGCCUGGGACAGCAAGUGCCAGAGGAAGACCGUCCCUUUAGCUGCAGCUACUGUGGGAAGACUUUUGCCCGCAGUGCCCACCUGGCCCGGCAUCAGGAAACCCAUUCUGGGGAGCGACCCUACAAGUGCACCUACUGUGGUAAAGCCUUUGGGCGCAAUUCCCACUUGACCCGCCACCACAGCACUCACACUGGAGAGCGCCCCUAUGAAUGUGGUGUCUGUGGUAAAGCUUUCACCCGCAGUGCUCAUGUCACUCGCCACCAAGGAACUCACACUGGAGAACGUCCUUUCCGCUGCACACGUUGUGGUAAAUGCUUCACCCGUAGUGCCCAUCUCCAGCGCCAUCAGGGCAUCCACAGUGGGGACAAGCCCUUCUCGUGCAGAGACUGUGGAAAGGGGUUCACUCGUUAUGCACACCUUGAGCGUCACCGUGCUACGCAUUCAGGAGAAAAACCCUUCAAAUGCGCCAGCUGUGGUAAAGGGUUUGGGGCUGCCUCUCACCUUGUAAGACACCAGAAAACUCAUAAAGUUUAACGGCUGGGUUUUGUGCCUGCUGCAAUCCAAACAAAUAUGAGAAUUGGCCAGUAUGAAGUACUUGGACUUAUCCUUUGACUUUAUAUCUCUUUUCUCCAUUCUAAAAUCUACUUUUAGAAAGAAAUGAGUUCAACCCACUCAACAAUAUUUACACCUGGUCUGCAGACAAAUUGAGGUUCUUUUAGCUUUUGCCACUUCGGUUCAGCAGCACCCAUAGCAAAAACAAUUUUAGAUGGUAAAACAGCAAAAUAUUCUAAUUUUUUUCCUUUGGGGGCAAAAAAAUCUCAGCGCUGCCAGUCACUCAUGGUUUUGUGUAUGCUUUUACUCAGUUAUAUAAAUAAAUGCUGUAUUUAACUCCACCUUUUCUAGUAAGAAAGAUGCCAGACAUAUGCAUUUAUGACUCCCUGGCAAGUAUUUCAAAAUCCCCUGCCUUGUGCUCCAGCAUUAUCUACAUUGUGCAGUUAUGAUGUAAAUGUGACAAUCUGAAUCAACAGAAGCAUCUUUUUGGCAAUUCCCUUGGAAUUUAAUUGGAUAAAUUAUUUCAUCAGCUUUGGAUUUUGAACCUGUGGCCUGAUCAUUUUGUUGUUAGAACUAUGUGCCAUGCUCACCUAAAAGACUAGCAUUGGAAUAGGGAGUUAUUGUGCCUGCAUCUUAAGCUCCUCAGUAGCUUGUAGCAGCAGAAGGAAAUGUUAUUGAAUCUGAAGCCAAUUCUUAAGAUUUGUCUAUCUCUUCCAUGCCUCUCAAGACUUUGAGGCUUGAUUUGCAGUCGUCUAACUACAAGUAGUGCCUGCAAUACCAUGUUGCAGCAUAGUGUAUUCAUAGACAAUGUAGCCAUAUUAUCUUUCAGAGAUAAUUCAACUUAUUUUUCCCUUCCUUUGAACUGUUUCCUUUAAUAGCAUGUUGGAGCUCCUAUGCUUGCUCAGACAUUGAUUUUCUUUUUAAUUUUAUGUUUUUGGAGGGAGGAAGUUAUUGCCUUUGGAUUUUAUUACUAAUUAUUUUUCUCUGUUUUUGCAAAUUUUGGUAUUGUGACAUGCUGAUAACUUCCCACUUAUUUCUCAGUAGCCCCAUUUGGGUUGCACAGUCAUCAUAAAUGUACAUGUGUUUACCAGCAAUAUUGAUAUUCAUGUCCAGUACUAGAUACUUUUUUGUGGGAGAAACAAGGAAUAGACCAAGACUUUUAUCAAGUUAAAUUGCAAUGUGAAACUGCAAAUAUUUCAAGUCUUUUCUGUUGGAAGUAUAUGAGUUCUUAGAUCUUGUCUCCCAAGCCUCCAGCUUUAGUGAAUCUGAACUAUUUUUUCUUUUUUUAUAAAUAAUAAUAGCUAGCAUAGUUACACUGAUAAAUUUUCUUACCUAACAACAGUGUGUUCUAGUGUAGGUAAAUAAAGACUCAAAUUCAACAAAUCAAAUUGUUGAACAACAACAAUGAAGUUUUUUGUUCAUUUAAACUCAUUCACAUUUUUUAAUGGAGAAGGAAGAUUUUAAAUAAUUGCUGUCUCAACAGAAAGGGAACUGUAGAAGAAAUGUAUGAAGACAGCUGGAACCUUUAGCAGAAAUUUAAAGUAUAACUUUGAAUGUCAUGCUAUUCUGAAGUGCAUCAGAAAACUAGAUGAGGCAGCAGGUAGUUUUUUAGCUGGAAUUCCAGAUAAACUAUGGUUACCCAAACUUUUUCUGUUUUGAUCCUUCAGGGGGAACUUGCUAAGUUAUUACAGCAAUUUAUUGUCUGUUGCUGAUUCUCGUCUGCCUCCUGAUCGGUGGUUCUUUGUAGAUGUGGGAUUCCCAGAAUGUUUUAAAGCUCUGAUCAUGCAAGAACCUGAUGAUUUUCUUACAUCAAGGAUUCUUGUACAGAGUGCUCACCAUGCCAAUGAUUUGAGUUAUAUAUGACAUUUGGACCUAGAAACAGCUAUAGGCCACUUGGCUCUGUUGUAUGGACUGGUAAUAACUUGGGCUGUUUGAAACCAGAGAAACUCAGCAGUAAGACUGCAGUUGUGCAGCAAAACUGUCAAAAAGGAUUUUCAGAAAAGAAAUGGACAAAUGAUAGAUUGGAAUAAUUGGAAAUAAGAACGAAUCACAACUUGCAAAGUAUACAUGAUUUUACUUGAAUGCCAAAUAAGCAGGACUUUUAGCCUAAGUGACUUGUAUUUGAAGGAGCCUUAUACAAUAUAUGGUCAGCUACUCUGAGUUCAUUAUAGUUACCAGAUGGAGGAACCAUUUCCUGUAUAUUCCAGCACUUCUUUGAUGAUUAUCUUGAUCCAGCGUUAAAAAAAUUUUUUUUGAAAGAAUAUAAAGAAUUAACUGUGAUUGCGAUUCCUCCAUGCUCUUACAAAUCUCUUAUUUUCAUCUUAAAUUCCAUAUACACUGCCUGUAAUAUCCCAGUUCUUUCUUCCAGAAUAUGAAGAGCAAGUGGCAGUACAUUUUCUUGGGCUUUCUAUGAUUUGAAAGCUAAAUUAAGUUGAACAUUUGUUUUUCUUUCUCUCAAGUUGAUAGAACGCUGUAGAAAUACUGAGCCCACAAACACUACUUUAUUUGCAUAGUAUUCUGUAUUGUAAAAAUGUGUGAUCAUUGCCUGCUUUUUAGCAUUCCAGGAGGCAGCAGCUGCUGAACUGUUCUUGAGAUAUUCUCCCUUAACUCCACCUAAGACAUGGAAAGACUUUGGGGGAACACCCCAAAGAUGUUUUUUCAAGAGGCAACUGGACUUUCUUGUUUUUCUUUGAAGAUGUUUUCUCUUCUCAUCCAAGAAGCUUCUUUAACUGUGGGGAGAAUAUUUUUUUUGCUAAAGUUGAGGCUGGUCAGUUUGAAGAAUAUAAGUCAAGAAUUUCCAGAAUUGUUCUAGUAAAUGAGAACUAUAUUUUUUUUCCAAUUGGAAUUCAAUUUUUUUUCUUGAUAGCUCCUAUUAAGCUACUGUAAUAUGCCUGGAUUCACAUAUUGCAGUAAGUCAUUAUAGCUCUUUUGUUUAUUCGGGGGAGGUAAACAUGUUGCAUGAAGCCAGCCAUUGUGAUUUGUAAAUUAUGGCUUAUAGCGUAAUAUGUGCAAAUCUUGUCAGGUAUAGUUCAGUAAAGCAUUGUUAAACAACCAUGGCGUAAUGGAGUCUGUGAGGGCAGCCAUUGCCUCCCACUAAACAUUAAGCUUAUUAAUGGAGUAGAAAAUUACUUACAUAUAAUUCAAUCUGAUUAUAGGGAACUUUUUAUCAUCUCCAUUUUGUUUAUUCUAGAACUGCAUAGAAGAAUCCAAACAUCUAUCUGUCAAAAUGUGAUUGUAUCCAGUUUAUGUUUUAGAACCUUAAUAUGAGCAGGGCAAGUUUGUCACAACUGUCUCAAAUCCCAUGGCUUUUGAUGGCACUAAAAUCCCCUUCCCAAUCAGAUAUUCUUCAAAUAGUGUUGGCUUAUACUAAUGUAAUCCGCCAGCUUGCAACGAUUAUACAGCUGGAAAAUUUAGCACGCCUGGAGGGUAUUUACUGAGAAUAGCUGAACUGGAGGAACUUGUUAACAGAUCAAUUACUAUCAUUAUUCCAUUAAAUCCUAUUCCUGAUAUAGCUUAGCCAUCACCAUAUUAUGGAUGCAGAUUUCCUCUAAAAAGAAAACUCAGCUGUGAAUACUUUAGUCAGCAUAUUGAUGGCACAGAAGAGAAAUAUUUAACCACCACAAUUGGGACCAGCAAUUUCAUUACUACCAGUAGGUGAGGCAGUCAAGUGAGAUAUUAUACCACUACAACUUGUGAUUUUACUGCCAGCUUCUCCAUUGACUCUGUUUAUCAGAAGCUCCCUGUGAAAUGUGCAAAUGGUGAUCACAUGACAGCAGGUUGCGACGGUUGUAAAUGCCAAUUGGUAGUGAAGCACCUGGAUCUCAAUCAUGUGACCAUGGGGACACUGCAAUGGCCAUAAGUGCAAGGACUGGUCAUAAAGCUACUUUUUCAUGCCAUCAUAUAGCUAAACAGGAGACAUUAAGUGAGAUCUGUCUGUACUGUCAUGCUGUUCCUGAGCAUAAAUGAAAAUGCACCUGUAAGGAAGAAAACCAGUGCCAUGCUCAUCUCUGAAGGCAGAAAAAAAGCCAAGUUGGAGAGUAAAAGAGCACCAAUGGGAUAAAUGACUUUCUAAAAAGAAGCAGCCUGUUCAUUCCCUAGUCUGUCCAAAAGAUACACGACCUGUCUUAAAAAAAUGUGAUGAACCUUUCUUAUACAAUCAAGUUGUCUAAUACCGAAAGGAGAAAGAGUUAGAGAUGUUUGGACUCGGCUGGUAUUGUGGAGAUGUUUGAAAAAAAGAAGACAGAAAGACAUUAUUGAUCUGGUGUUUUAUUAAUCUGUCUUCUUUAAACAUUUUUCAUGUGUACUGUGUUUUCCCUGUUCAUAGUAGUAUGAAUGCCAUAUUUUAGAGAAAACAGAAAAUAGUAUUAUUUCAAAUAAUAGGGGUACAAUCUAGAGAAAAACAAUCAGCCAAGGACCAACUGAUGUCAAGGGAUAUUAAAAAUACAGAUAAGGGGACUACAGGGGAGAUAUAAUAGAAAGGAAUGGGCUGAGUUGGUCACUUGGUGAUUUCCCUCCUCCCCAAGAUAAAAAUAGAAAAUGAUUGAGGAAUGUGGGUGGCAAAAGAAAGUUAUAAAAUAUUUUCUCUUUUGAAAUGAAUGAAAUAGAGGAUUUAUUCAGAGUGUAUGAAUAUUUUUAUGUAAAAGAAUGCACAAAAUUGGAUGGUGAUUAUUCCUAUGUAUAUAAUAGACCAGAAUAAGCAACUUGAUACUUUCAGAUACUAUUGGCAGAAGUUGAUAGGAAUUGAUAGCUAAAACAUCUGGAAAGCUCUUGCUAUCCAAAUGCAUUCCUAUACUUUGAAUGCUGCCAUCUUUUUGGUACAAGUCAAGCCUUUUUAGUUAGGAAUUGUGAAUUGUUUGCUGAUAUGCAGUGGUUUCGGUUUGCAAAUAAUCAGAAACAAAUAUUCUGCAGUUGAUCUUUUGCAACAAUUCUUCUGCAUGUGAGUUACAUAGUUUGUACAAAAAUAAGAAAGGGUUUCAAAACUGUUUUCAUGUGAAAUGUUGGAAUCCAGUAACUUUAUGGAAUUAGGAGUCUUAUCUCUGAAUACAUAAGCUUAAAAUUUCUCAAUAACUUUCUUAAGCCAAGCAAUACAAUUCCAUGUCUUCAGUUAUAAAUGAUGCUUUUUAUGUGUUUUUUUUAAAAAAAACAUGGAUUUCAAAUUUUUCCAACAGUUCCAAUUUUUAUCUGGAAAGAAACAACUUUGUUUUCCUUCAAUUCUUCCAAACUUUUGGCAAUAAUACAAAACACUGGUACAUAUGUCAUUCUACCCAAUAUUUAUAUUUACAUAGCAUACCAAGAUUAGGUACUGGAUUAUAAUCAAUUUUCUGGAUAUGUAUAAUAUGCUAAACUAUGAAAUAGCCAAAUAGGCUGGAUUCAUACAAUACAUUAAUUUAAAAACAAAAUCAAACCAAUGAUCUGGUACAGCAGAUUAUCUUUGUUCUCAGGUUUAUCUAAUCAGUGACUGAUCAUAUAAAAUAUAUGCAUAUAAAAUAUAUACAGACAAUGUUGUAAGACUUGUUUUUAGGGUUAAAUGCUUUUUUCCCCCUUCUAUAAUUUUAAACAAGUGAGGUGAGUUUAUGCUGCCUUCCAGCAAGAUCUAAAAAAAAAGCAAAGAUUAAUUCCUACCAGAUGGCCAUCUGUAUUGCAAUAGAUGUAUGCAUACCAGUCAAUCAGCCCAAUUUUAUUUGGAUUUGCAAAGAACAUAGACCAGGUUUUCCUUUGCAAAUAUCUGCUCUCAAAUUAAUAAUGGAGAUGUUUCCUUCUCACUAUCCUCAUUAUUCUAAUUCUGUGCAGCAGCUCCAGCUAGUUAUAGUUAGUAAUAAUGAUUACCAAUUAAAAUAGCCAGCUAUAUAUUGCCAGGAAAAAAGAAUGCAUCAUCAAAAGGAAAGACAUGGACAUAGACAAUUAAAAUUCAAUACUGUAGGAAUGCAAUGGAUUCUCAGUGAAAUAAGAGGUGAUGGAAAAAGCUGAUAAGGUUCAUCCAUUGAACUAAAUCACAUAUAACCACUUUUAAGAGUGAGAUGGAAAACACAUAAACCUAAUAAAUUUUUAAAAAUGUAUCAACAGUUUUCACCCAACAGUUCCUCAAGCUUGAAAGCUGGCAGGAGAGAUUCAAGGAGACAGAUGUUUGACAAAAUGUUUUUAUUACAGAUACUAAAAAGGUAAUAAUAGAGUAAUCAAUAACUGCCAGCUGCAUACUAAAAGCCAUGUGUACAUGUAGCAUUCCCAAAGUUCAAACAGUACAUCCACCGUGAGGGCAGGUUUCGUCUCAGUGGAAGGGCUGUAAUGCUGUUCAUUGAUGUUCAUCCACUGACGUUAUGGUCCUGUCUGAGGUUGGGGGUCUUGACUUCUGAUCUUGAUGAUUCUGGCCCUCAAAAUUUGCUUAGUUUCAGUUCAGUAUAUUCAAUCAAAUUUAGCUUGCAGAUCCUGGUUUUUGUAGCUUGAUAUAUCAUGUAAAUUGUGAUUUGUUCAAUAAAGUGUAGCUAAGCAUACCAUGUAGAGCACAGUGUGUGACUGCAUUCAAUGACUAAGUGGCUUAUGCCUACUCAAGAUGUUGCCUUGGGAAAGUUCAUCAGCAGCCUUCAUGCUUAAAUUCUUUCAGGAUGGUUCUGAUUAAUCUGGACUUGUGAAUAGAGUUGAGGUGGGAAUCUUGAUUCCCAGUGUUUCUGAACUUUCAUUUCCAGUAUUGUUCAACUCAGUAUAGUUUAAGGUGCUGGCAGGAUUUUUUAAAUUAUUUUUUAGAAUAGUUUUAUUCUGUAGAUCAAGCUUCUGGCCUCCUUCAGUGCAGAACUGCCCCUGUAGCUCCACUUUAAUUAGAAGAUUGUCCAUUCUAAAAUAAUUCUUCUAUCCUUCAAAUUUGGGAAAUUUAGUUUUUUUAAAAAAACUAUCAAGUUUUAUUACAUUUUAAUAUUAGCGUACUAAAUAGUCUCUUUAAAAUAAAUAUGUAUGUGUUAAGGUUAUAGUAAUCCAUACUUCCUUUCCUGUGUUCUUUUGUUUUUAAGAAAGAACAGGACGGAUAUAUAACAUCCUCCUGGAAAACAUCUAUAGACUUGUUUAUAUGCGAGACCUCAACUAAUAAUGAUUCCAUGCCUCGGGUGCUAUUCAGCAAGUUCUGACAGGUUCUGGAGAACCGUUAUGGAAAUUUUGAGCAGUUCGGAGAGCUGGCAAAUACACUUCUGACUGGCCCCAGAGUGGGGGUGGGAAUGGAGAUUUUGCAAUAUCCUUCCCCCAGGAGUGGAGAGGGAAUGGGAAUUUUGCAGUAUCCUUCCCCUGCCAUUCCCACCAAGCCAUGCCCACGGAACUGGUAGUAAAAAAAAUUGAAUUCCAACACUGCCAUGCCUGUCUGCUUUUUCUUAGACUUUUCCACUGAAAUAUUGUCACUUCCAUGUGAACAUUCUGUAGGUUCUUAAGAACUUUAGCGAUACCAUAACUCAGAUAUUUAGGGUGCAAAUAGUUCCAGAUGCAGACCUUGACACAGGUGAAAUGCUCCUGGUUCGGACCGGAUUGGGUGAUCCAGUAGCGAUCAUGUUGGGUGGUUUGGCGAUCCGGUAGCCCACCCGCCCGAAUGUUGUUACAUCCUGGUUUUAACCAGGAAGUAAUAUGUUUUUUACCUUCUGCAUAUGAAGCGUGCACAUAGCGUGUGCACUUCCGAACCGGCAAGGAAGGUAAGUAGAUUUCACCCCUGCCUUGACAUAUAAAAAAUGUCUCUGGUAACAGGAAUCUGCUUAAAUUACUAGAAACCCAAUGAAUGAUUACUCUGAUGAACGAAUUGCAUUCCAUUAAUGUUUUCCAACAUACCCAGUGGUGGGUUUCAAAAAUUUUUACUAUUGGUUCUGUGAGUGUGGCUUGGUGGGAGUGGCAGGGGAAGGAUACUGUAAAAUCUCCAUUCCCUCCCCAAUCCAGGGGAAGGUUACUGCAAAAUCCCCAUUUCCUCCCGAUCAGCUGGGACUUGGAAGGCAGAUGCGGGCAGGGCCAGUCAGAAUUUUUACUACCGGUUCUCCGAAUUACUCAAAAUUUCCGCUACCAGUUCUCCAGAAUUGAUCAGAACCUGCUGAAACCCACCUCUGAAGAUACCUGGUUGGAUUUAUAGAGCAGUAAGCCAGAAUUUGAUUUUAUGUCUUUUUUUUAACCUAAUGAACUGUACUUUGCAAUGUAUAGUUUAUUGCUGAGUGUUAUAUAUAUACCCAGCCAUUUUGGCUUAUUCAACUUACCAUGAUUAAAAGAAACCACAGGCUUGCAAUGGUUGUACUUUCCACUCCAAUAUAUAUCAAUACACUUAAUUGUUGGGCAGCUUUAAAGUAUUGCAUAUAAUAUACUUUAGCAUUUUCGAACCUAGUGUCUUCUUGGUAUACUGGAGUGUAAUUCUCACUAGUUCCUAACCAACAAGUUCUAAGUUGUUUUGUCUGAGGGGGGUUAAAAAAGUUAAAAGUCUAAAUGUUUCUCAACUUUGGCAACUCUUAAGAUGUAUGGACUUCAAUUCCCAGAAUUCCCCUGCCAGCUGAAGUACACUAUAUAUACACAUUUUAAUUAGAGUUGCCAAGAUUGAGAAACACUGGUCUAAGACAUUUAGAAGGUCAAUGAAAUUAGGCUGUGGUCUCCUUAAAUAAGAUGAAAUAGUUGCCAAAAGCAUCAUAUGUGUAGCCCAGACCAUGUAACUGCUUACUUGCUAACUACUAGUGGGCAUCUUUGCUGCAGUGAAGAGAGUUUUAUCUUAUGGGAAAUUACAGGCACCUACACUGCAGGAGAAGCAGUCACAAGGCAAACACUAGAGAUACAACUGAUCUCUUCUUCCUCCCUGUGGCUUGUGAAAAUCUACAGAGAUGUAUUUAAGGCCAAUUCUAUAAUUGAAAUGGAGAAGGAUCAUAGAAUCAAUUACAUCAGGAAUGUCAAACUUUUUCAUUUGAGAGCCGCAUCAGGGUUGUGUUUGACUUAGGAGGCCCAGGAUGGGCAUGGCCAGCUCGAUGUUACUUGUGGCAGGGGGUGCAUGUGGUGGUCUGAACAUUCUGCCAACGAAAAUGGGCACCCAAGUUUCAUUUUCAGCUGCGAUGGCCGCCUGAAACCAUCUGCCAGUGAAAAUGGAGCUCGGGAGGGCUGCCUGUCUCCCUUCCAAGCUCCAUUUUAGCUGGCAGAGAUACCGCGGGCCAGUCCUUUGCUGUUUCCAGGACGGCCCCAUGGGCCACAUCUAAGCACCCUGUGGGCCGGAUCUGGGCCCCAGGCCUUGAGUUUGACACCCUGGAUUACAUUAAUUCAAACUGUGAGUGGCACAAUCCAAUUGUGAACAUUCUAUAUUAAAACUAAUCAUGCACAUAUGCAAACAUUUAUGCAUUUUAAAACCCCAGCAGCAAAUAAUGCUUAUCCAUCUCUGAUAGAUGUUUUGUUUUUCUAUUUGUGUGUAUGUGCUUUUGAAACAGCUAAUACCAUCUGCAUUUUCUAUCCAUUCUGUCUUCUCCCUGCCCCCAUUAUUGCUAUAUUCUGCUUUAGUGUAAACCAGAUUUCAUUCUGCAGGCAUUGGUUGUGGACCAAUAUCCUAUUGUCUUUAGUUCUUAUUUGUAUAUUCUUUCACAUUACUGAUUCAUUUCCCAUGGUAGUUAUUUUCUUAAACCAUGAUAGCCGGUAAGGAAUAUAUAACAGGAAAAACUGAAGCCAUAGGGCAAAGGUCAUUCUUGGACAUUAUAGGCUUGGGAUAGCUUUUUGGGCUAGGAAGAAAAGUUUUGUUCAUAAUGUAUGGUCUGAAUGCACCCAGCUAUGGUACAUUUUGAGUAAUCCAUUGUUAAUAAACCACUUUGUUUUUCUCAUGAUUGUUCCCAUGCUAAACAUAUUUUUCUGAAAUAUGAUUAAGUUUUGAUAGCAUCGAUUUUCAAGCAAGCCUGAUUUAAGAUUGGCUUUUUUUUUCAGCUGCAAGCUUAUGAUUUCAUUAUAGUUUUUGGUCUGUCUGCAAAUGAAGUUGUUUUUUUGAUUAAGGAAUAGUCAUGAAAAAUGUGUUUCAUUUCACAUAAGGUUGUAGGGAAGGGGAAAUAAUCAUUUGUUGAGGGACACAUCUUCCCUCUUCUUAAUUUGGAACCAACCUGGGAAUACAUUAGGCCAGACUUUCCCAAGGUGGUACAAGUUCAGUUAAAGCUGGAGAGCAUCAAGCCUGGAAAGAUACCCUCUGUGGCUUUCUUUCACAUUAUAAAUUCAUUUUUGGCUUGCUGUGGCUUGGGUACAGUCUAGAGGGUAAGAGUAAAUUUGUUUUGCUUGUGUAUUGCUUUGAGGCAGGAUUAGACUUGGAUUCAUUUGGCAGACUGUUUGGAUUGUUCGUAUUUUCUCUAUUUGUAAUAAUGCCAAGGAUACAAUUUAACAACAGUUGUAAAUGGUGUUGCAAUAUAGCAAAACUGAUGUCUGGGUUUCUCAAAAUUUUAGUUUUCCUGAUAUUUCCUUUGGUAUCUUUCUCUGUUUUCCUAUUAUAUUAAUAAUAUCUGUCUUUUCUCUGUAUGAAAUAAAUAAUUUUUAAAGAGGU
Molecule: non-coding RNA, 11471 nt
Organism: Pantherophis guttatus
Lineage: Eukaryota; Metazoa; Chordata; Lepidosauria; Squamata; Colubridae
Source: RefSeq, a predicted model, not a curated record